AUUGUUUUUAUUUUGCAGACAAUAGUUGGCAGAAGAUAUAAAUUGAGACGACGUGAGGCAUAGGGAACACAUACCAACCUACCAACUGUACAAGAUGAAUACAAAAGCUUUGUUGUGUUUGCUCGUCGUCUGCAUGCUGCUGGUUGACGUCAGCGAGUCGUUCCGUCGAAGAAGAAGAAAAUUCAUCUACCGUAGACGCUUUCUAUACUGCAGGAGACGUUUCUACAGAAGACGUUGUUUUUAUGGAGACCAGGAAGGUGCCGAAGAACAACAACAAGAUAAUUUCAACGAAGAGCCGCAUGGAGAUAUGGACAAUGACGAAAUGCAAGAAGAACCACAAGAGUAAAACUCGUUUAAAGGUUGCUGUGGCAUUGAAUAAAUAAACAAACAGCACCCAUA
Non-coding RNA from Ciona intestinalis (vase tunicate), 399 nucleotides. The record is from RefSeq and is a predicted model, not a curated record. Lineage: Eukaryota; Metazoa; Chordata; Ascidiacea; Phlebobranchia; Cionidae.